GACAGAGGGGGCAAGCGUUGCUCGGAAUCACUGGGCGUAAAGGGCGCGUAGGCGGGAUGGCAAGUCGGUCGUGAAAUCCUUCGGCUCAACCGAAGAACGUCGGCCGAUACUGCCGUUCUUGAGGGAUGCAGAGGAGAUUGGAAUUCCCGGUGUAGCGGUGAAAUGUGUAGAGAUCGGGAGGAACACCGGUGGCGAAGGCGGGUCUCUGGGCAUCUCCUGACGCUGAGGCGCGAAAGCGUGGGGAGCAAACGGG
This 253-nucleotide ribosomal RNA is filed under the name uncultured bacterium. RNAcentral describes it as "partial 16S ribosomal RNA". It matches the Rfam family "Bacterial small subunit ribosomal RNA", at positions 524 to 776 of the family's 1533-position model. The record is from RNAcentral. RNAcentral also lists the same sequence under 3 other names.